Molecule: long non-coding RNA, 934 nt
Organism: Mercurialis annua (annual mercury)
Lineage: Eukaryota; Viridiplantae; Streptophyta; Magnoliopsida; Malpighiales; Euphorbiaceae
Exons: 2
Source: RefSeq, a predicted model, not a curated record
CAAAUUCUCUUGUGCUGGUUUUUUGACAGUUAUAAACAAAGAGGAAAUUGCCAUUGCCAAUGCACUAUGAUCAGCGUAAAUGUAUUACUAAGUGUAUUAAUCUAGUGGUAAAAAUAUUUCCAAAUUUCCUAUCAACUCGGAACCGUCUCUCCCAUCACGGCCGCUCACACCAACCGCCCCUUCACUGCUGCCACUCUUCGCUGCCGCUUCCCUGUUUGUGUCGCCUUCUCGUUUCUACCGCUAACCACCGUUUCCUUCUCCUCACUUACUCCAGUUGGUGCCAUCGCUGCCGAUUUCUGUGCAAGAGUAAAUUUUUGAUGUUUGUGUGAAAGGAAGUAAAGAUCGUAUUUGAAGGCUUGACAAUGCGGAAGGGUCAAGACAGGAAAAGGAAUCACACGUCUUCCUUAUAAUUUUUUGUUGAUCUAUUUAUAUUAUUAAUCUAUUUGUGCAUGUGUCUUAUAUUACAAACAAAAUUCGUACAUCAGAGAGGAAGUUCAAUUUCAGUCGAAGGGUAGGUUUUUUUCAUCCUCUGCAAACCAGGAAAAUUAAUCAAAUCGAUUGUUUCCUUUGGCUUUCUUAUUUACCGCCUCCUCCGCGGUGGCUACUCCGUCGGAAUCAUUGUUCAUACUAAGAACUCCAACUUUACUGGUUGCAUAAAUGUCCAUUCUCAAAUAUACUCCCUCUGUGAUCCAAGCAGUAAGGGAUUAUAUCACCCGAAGUUGCAAAGACUCUGGAAUAAGUCGAGAAAGAUAUUUCAUCAAUAAUAGAAGUCAUAAUUUUAUACCGUUCGCUUACUUUGCACAUGUUAAGCGAAUGUGUACUUGGAUGGCCCAUGAAGUGGCUAAUAAGUCCUUAAAGCCUCCUUUUUAGGAGUUAUUAUUGUAAUCUCUGUUAUCUAGUUCUUUCAAACAUUAUGUACUUCUAUUUACCGAAA